RNAcentral lists this ribosomal RNA (254 nucleotides) under uncultured bacterium. RNAcentral's name for it is "partial 16S ribosomal RNA". It matches the Rfam family "Bacterial small subunit ribosomal RNA", at positions 524 to 776 of the family's 1533-position model. The record is from RNAcentral.
GACGUAGGGCGCGAGCGUUGUCCGGAUUUAUUGGGCGUAAAGAGCUCGUAGGCGGUCUGUCGCGUCGAUCGUGAAAACUUGGGGCUUAACCCUGAGCUUGCGGUCGAUACGGGCAUGACUGGAGUUCGGCAGGGGAGACUGGAAUUCCUGGUGUAGCGGUGAAAUGCGCAGAUAUCAGGAGGAACACCGGUGGCGAAGGCGGGUCUCUGGGCCGAUACUGACGCUGAGGAGCGAAAGCGUGGGGAGCGAACAGG